This 439-nucleotide long non-coding RNA is filed under the name Bos taurus (domestic cattle). RNAcentral's name for it is "long non-coding RNA NONBTAT009208". Lineage: Eukaryota; Metazoa; Chordata; Mammalia; Artiodactyla; Bovidae. The record is from RNAcentral.
GUCCGUGUAUAUGUUAUACCUUUACAUAUAUAUAUAAUAAGGCUAAUUACUUGAUCGAUGAAUUCAGCUGUUUGACUACAAUGUAUAGCACAUUGGUAAAGCACCAGGUAAAAUAGAUUUUAAAUGUUUCAUUAGAAAACAAUAAAUAAAUUGACCUGAUUAUGAAUUGUGUUUAAUUAGGUAGAAAUUAUGUAUCAAGUGAUACAUGAAAUUGGGAUGAGGUUGUCAAGAACUGCACAAACUUUGACAUUUUUAAUACAGUGCAUUUCAUAUUUGAUAUAUCUUUGCUCAUUUGUUCAAACAAUGGGAAUCCUUUUUAAUAGACAUAACUCUGAAAAUAUUUAGAUUUGAAGACAUAUAAUUUUAUUAGAAUACUUUUUUUUUAAUAGCAAUCCUGAUGAGUUUAAUUUAACCACAAUUUUUACUUCAUUUAGCACUC